UACGAAGGGUGCAAACGUUGCUCGGAAUCAUUGGGCGUAAAGCGCACGUAGGCGGCUUCGCAAGUCGGAUGUGAAAUCCCUCGGCUCAACCGAGGACGUGCAUACGAAACUGCGGAGCUUGAGUGCUGAAGAGGAUCGCGGAAUUCCCGGUGUAGAGGUGAAAUUCGUAGAUAUCGGGAGGAACACCAGUGGCGAAGGCGGCGAUCUGGGCAGGCACUGACGCUGAGGUGCGAAAGCGUGGGGAGCAAACAGG
RNAcentral lists this ribosomal RNA (253 nucleotides) under uncultured bacterium. Its description in RNAcentral is "partial 16S ribosomal RNA". It matches the Rfam family "Bacterial small subunit ribosomal RNA", at positions 524 to 776 of the family's 1533-position model. The record is from RNAcentral.